RNAcentral lists this non-coding RNA (572 nucleotides) under Linnemannia elongata AG-77. Its description in RNAcentral is "Mortierella elongata AG-77 Eukaryotic large subunit ribosomal RNA". It matches the Rfam family "Eukaryotic large subunit ribosomal RNA", at positions 2419 to 3349 of the family's 3401-position model. Lineage: Eukaryota; Fungi; Mortierellomycota; Mortierellomycetes; Mortierellales; Mortierellaceae. The record is from Rfam by way of RNAcentral.
AGCAUUCGCACGAGAACUGAAAGCCCCCCUGGGUUAGGCAGAAUAACUGGCUUGUGACAGCCAAGAGUUCAUAGUGACGUUGCUUUUUGAUCUUUUGAUGUCGGCAUUUCCUAUCAUAUUGAAGCAGAUUUCAGUACGCGUUGGAUUGAGAACCCAUUAACACGGAACAAGACCUAAGAAGGUUUAGACCGUCGUGAGAUAGGCAAAUUUUAUCCUACCGAUGAAACGUUGUUGCAAUAGUAGUUGAACUUGGUCUGAGAGGAACCGUCCAUUCAGAUAAUUGGUAUUUGGGCGUGCCUGAGUAGGCAAUAGACCGACGCAAUCAUCUGUCAGACUAUGGACUGAACGCCUCUAUAUCAGGACCCGUGCUAGAACGCGACGAUUACCGCCUUUUCCGAUUUUAGUUGAAUACGAAUAGAUCUUCGGAUUCUGAUUCAAACCACAAGAGAUUGAUCUUGAAAAGUAGAAAGGCUUUAUAUAAUAAUGCUCCUACUAAUGUUAAUUUCAAAUAUCGGAAGAGAUAAAGCCAUUGCAGAAGACUUUACUUGAAUGCGGUAUUGUAUUAUGCCUUU